RNAcentral lists this ribosomal RNA (931 nucleotides) under Fusarium solani. Its description in RNAcentral is "LSU rRNA". It matches the Rfam family "Eukaryotic large subunit ribosomal RNA", at positions 21 to 981 of the family's 3401-position model. The record is from RNAcentral. Lineage: Eukaryota; Fungi; Ascomycota; Sordariomycetes; Hypocreales; Nectriaceae.
UAACCCGGUGGAUUAGCAUAUCAAUAAGCGGAGGAAAAGAAACCAACAGGGAUUGCCCCAGUAACGGCGAGUGAAGCGGCAACAGCUCAAAUUUGAAAUCUGGCUCUCGGGCCCGAGUUGUAAUUUGUAGAGGAUGCUUUUGGUGAGGUGCCUUCCGAGUUCCCUGGAACGGGACGCCAUAGAGGGUGAGAGCCCCGUCUGGUUGGACACCGAUCCUCUGUAAAGCUCCUUCGACGAGUCGAGUAGUUUGGGAAUGCUGCUCUAAAUGGGAGGUAUAUGUCUUCUAAAGCUAAAUACCGGCCAGAGACCGAUAGCGCACAAGUAGAGUGAUCGAAAGAUGAAAAGAACUUUGAAAAGAGAGUUAAACAGUACGUGAAAUUGUUGAAAGGGAAGCGCUUGUGACCAGACUUGGGCUUGGUUGAUCAUCCGGGGUUCUCCCCGGUGCACUCUUCCGGCCCAGGCCAGCAUCAGUUCGCCCUGGGGGACAAAGGCUUCGGGAAUGUGGCUCUCUCCGGGGAGUGUUAUAGCCCGUUGCGUAAUACCCUGUGGCGGACUGAGGUUCGCGCAUUCGCAAGGAUGCUGGCGUAAUGGUCAUCAGUGACCCGUCUUGAAACACGGACCAAGGAGUCGUCUUCGUAUGCGAGUGUUCGGGUGUCAAACCCCUACGCGAAAUGAAAGUGAACGCAGGUGAGAGCUUCGGCGCAUCAUCGACCGAUCCUGAUGUUAUCGGAUGGAUUUGAGUAAGAGCAUACGGGGCCGGACCCGAAAGAAGGUGAACUAUGCCUGUGUAGGGUGAAGCCAGAGGAAACUCUGGUGGAGGCUCGCAGCGGUUCUGACGUGCAAAUCGAUCGUCAAACAUGGGCAUGGGGCGAAAGACUAAUCGAACCUUCUAGUAGCUGGGUUUCCGCCCGAAGUCCCCCCUUCAAGGAAA